This 1475-nucleotide ribosomal RNA is filed under the name Lactiplantibacillus plantarum. RNAcentral's name for it is "bacterial SSU rRNA". It matches the Rfam family "Bacterial small subunit ribosomal RNA". The record is from RNAcentral. Lineage: Bacteria; Bacillati; Bacillota; Bacilli; Lactobacillales; Lactobacillaceae.
GACUUUGGUGUUGAUUGGUGCUUGCAUCAUGAUUUACAUUUGAGUGAGUGGCGAACUGGUGAGUAACACGUGGGAAACCUGCCCAGAAGCGGGGGAUAACACCUGGAAACAGAUGCUAAUACCGCAUAACAACUUGGACCGCAUGGUCCGAGCUUGAAAGAUGGCUUCGGCUAUCACUUUUGGAUGGUCCCGCGGCGUAUUAGCUAGAUGGUGGGGUAACGGCUCACCAUGGCAAUGAUACGUAGCCGACCUGAGAGGGUAAUCGGCCACAUUGGGACUGAGACACGGCCCAAACUCCUACGGGAGGCAGCAGUAGGGAAUCUUCCACAAUGGACGAAAGUCUGAUGGAGCAACGCCGCGUGAGUGAAGAAGGGUUUCGGCUCGUAAAACUCUGUUGUUAAAGAAGAACAUAUCUGAGAGUAACUGUUCAGGUAUUGACGGUAUUUAACCAGAAAGCCACGGCUAACUACGUGCCAGCAGCCGCGGUAAUACGUAGGUGGCAAGCGUUGUCCGGAUUUAUUGGGCGUAAAGCGAGCGCAGGCGGUUUUUUAAGUCUGAUGUGAAAGCCUUCGGCUCAACCGAAGAAGUGCAUCGGAAACUGGGAAACUUGAGUGCAGAAGAGGACAGUGGAACUCCAUGUGUAGCGGUGAAAUGCGUAGAUAUAUGGAAGAACACCAGUGGCGAAGGCGGCUGUCUGGUCUGUAACUGACGCUGAGGCUCGAAAGUAUGGGUAGCAAACAGGAUUAGAUACCCUGGUAGUCCAUACCGUAAACGAUGAAUGCUAAGUGUUGGAGGGUUUCCGCCCUUCAGUGCUGCAGCUAACGCAUUAAGCAUUCCGCCUGGGGAGUACGGCCGCAAGGCUGAAACUCAAAGGAAUUGACGGGGGCCCGCACAAGCGGUGGAGCAUGUGGUUUAAUUCGAAGCUACGCGAAGAACCUUACCAGGUCUUGACAUACUAUGCAAAUCUAAGAGAUUAGACGUUCCCUUCGGGGACAUGGAUACAGGUGGUGCAUGGUUGUCGUCAGCUCGUGUCGUGAGAUGUUGGGUUAAGUCCCGCAACGAGCGCAACCCUUAUUAUCAGUUGCCAGCAUUAAGUUGGGCACUCUGGUGAGACUGCCGGUGACAAACCGGAGGAAGGUGGGGAUGACGUCAAAUCAUCAUGCCCCUUAUGACCUGGGCUACACACGUGCUACAAUGGAUGGUACAACGAGUUGCGAACUCGCGAGAGUAAGCUAAUCUCUUAAAGCCAUUCUCAGUUCGGAUUGUAGGCUGCAACUCGCCUACAUGAAGUCGGAAUCGCUAGUAAUCGCGGAUCAGCAUGCCGCGGUGAAUACGUUCCCGGGCCUUGUACACACCGCCCGUCACACCAUGAGAGUUUGUAACACCCAAAGUCGGUGGGGUAACCUUUUAGGAACCAGCCGCCUAAGGUGGGACAGAUGAUUAGGGUGAAGUCGUAACAAGGUAGCCGUAGGAGA